This 503-nucleotide ribosomal RNA is filed under the name uncultured bacterium. RNAcentral describes it as "bacterial SSU rRNA". It matches the Rfam family "Bacterial small subunit ribosomal RNA", at positions 36 to 518 of the family's 1533-position model. The record is from RNAcentral.
CGGACUGGCGGCGUGCCUAACACAUGCAAGUCGAACGGAAGUAUUACGCUGCAGAGAUUUCGGUCAAAGCUUGUGAUACUUAGUGGCGGACGGGUGAGUAACGCGUGGGCAACCUGCCUCAUACUGGGGGAUAGCAGUUGGAAACGACUGAUAAUACCGCAUAAGCGCACAGCAUCGCAUGAUGCAGUGUGAAAAAACUCCGGUGGUAUGAGAUGGGCCCGCGUCAGAUUAGCCAGUUGGCAGGGUAACGGCCUACCAAAGCGACGAUCUGUAGCCGGCCUGAGAGGGCGGACGGCCACAUUGGGACUGAGACACGGCCCAAACUCCUACGGGAGGCAGCAGUGGGGGAUAUUGCACAAUGGAGGGAACUCUGAUGCAGCGACGCCGCGCCGAGUGAAGAAGUAUUUCGGUAUGUAAAGCUCUAUCAGCAGGGAAGAAAGACUCGCAAGAGAGAUGACGGUACCUGACUAAGAAGCCCCGGCUAACUACGUGCCAGCCGCGGC